AGGAGACUGAAUAAUUUGAUGUGGGUUGUGAGGUUUGGUAUGCAUUAAGGAUCCUUUGUAUGUGUAUGGGUAGAGUCCAAUUUGCGAUGAUGUCAUAGGUACAUAUCCAUUAUUAUUCCGUGUGUAGAAUUUAUUAGAUGAAUCAUCGGCAGUUUUUACAGAACUUUUUCUAGCUCUUCGUCUUGCAUUUCGGCGCCUGAAGUCUCCUUUUGAAAAAUCCGCUAUACAUGCUAAGUGAAUAGACCAAUAGUUGCCUUUGCCGUUAUUGGACCUGCCACUUUUCAGGAAGCACUCGUUUAGAGAAAGAUUAUGUCGUAUACUGUUUCUCCAUCCUUUUUCUUUGUUAUUGUAGAAGGGGAAUUUAUC
This is a long non-coding RNA of Mytilus californianus (California mussel), 366 nucleotides long. RefSeq lists it as uncharacterized. The record is from RefSeq and is a predicted model, not a curated record. The transcript is spliced from 3 exons. NCBI's taxonomy places the organism in Eukaryota, Metazoa, Mollusca, Bivalvia, Mytilida, Mytilidae.